This 731-nucleotide ribosomal RNA is filed under the name uncultured bacterium. RNAcentral describes it as "bacterial SSU rRNA". It matches the Rfam family "Bacterial small subunit ribosomal RNA", at positions 134 to 851 of the family's 1533-position model. The record is from RNAcentral.
CAGAAGGGGAUAACACUUGAAAACAGGUGCUAAUACCGUAUAACACUAUUUUCCGCAUGGAAGAAAGUUGAAAGGCGCUUUUGCGCCACUGAUGGAUGGACCCGCGGUGCAUUAGCUAGUUGGUGAGGUAACGGCUCACCAAGGCCACGAUGCAUAGCCGACCUGAGAGGGUGAUCGGCCACACUGGGACUGAGACACGGCCCAGACUCCUACGGGAGGCAGCAGUAGGGAAUCUUCGGCAAUGGACGAAGGUCUGACCGAGCAACGCCGCGUGAGUGAAGAAGGUUUUCGGAUCGUAAAACUCUGUUGUUAGGGAAGAACAAGGAUGAGAGUAAAACGUUCAUCCCUUGACGGUAUCUAACCAGAAAGCCACGGCUAACUACGUGCCAGCAGCCGCGGUAAUACGUAGGUGGCAAGCGUUGUCCGGAUUUAUUGGGCGUAAAGCGAGCGCAGGCGGUUUCUUAAGUCUGAUGUGAAAGCCCCCGGCUCAACCGGGGAGGGUCAUUGGAAACUGGGAGACUUGAGUGCAGAAGAGGAGAGUGGAAUUCCAUGUGUAGCGGUGAAAUGCGUAGAUAUAUGGAGGAACACCAGUGGCGAAGGCGGCUCUCUGGUCUGUAACUGACGCUGAGGCUCGAAAGCGUGGGGAGCGAACAGGAUUAGAUACCCUGGUAGUCCACGCCGUAAACGAUGAGUGCUAAGUGUUGGAGGGUUUCCGCCCUUCAGUGCUGCAG